AUUGAACGCUGGCGGCAUGCCUAACACAUGCAAGUCGAACGGUAACAGGCCCUUCGGGCGCUGACGAGUGGCGGACGGGUGAGUAAUACUUAGGAAUCUACCCUGUAGUGGGGACGAACCCGAGGAAACUCGGGCUAAUACCGCAUACGCUCUACGGAGGAAAGCGGGGACCGGCAAGGCCUCGCGCUAUUGGAUGAGCCUAAGCCCGACUUAGCUAGUUGGUGGGGUAAUGGCCUACCAAGGCAAUGAUCGGUAGCUGGUCUGAGAGGACGACCAGCCACACUGGGACUGAGACACGGCCCAGACUCCUACGGGAGGCAGC
RNAcentral lists this ribosomal RNA (322 nucleotides) under uncultured bacterium. RNAcentral describes it as "bacterial SSU rRNA". It matches the Rfam family "Bacterial small subunit ribosomal RNA", at positions 30 to 352 of the family's 1533-position model. The record is from RNAcentral.